UACGUAGGGUGCAGGCGUUAAUCGGAAUUACUGGGCGUAAAGCGUGCGCAGGCGGUUUGCUAAGACAGGUGUGAAAUCCCCGGGCUUAACCUGGGAACUGCGCUUGUAACUGGCAAGCUGGAGUGUGGCAGAGGGGGGUGGAAUUCCACGUGUAGCAGUGAAAUGCGUAGAGAUGUGGAGGAACACCGAUGGCGAAGGCAGCCCCCUGGGCUAACACUGACGCUCAUGCACGAAAGCGUGGGUAGCAAACGGG
This 253-nucleotide ribosomal RNA is filed under the name uncultured bacterium. RNAcentral's name for it is "partial 16S ribosomal RNA". It matches the Rfam family "Bacterial small subunit ribosomal RNA", at positions 524 to 776 of the family's 1533-position model. The record is from RNAcentral.